CUGAUGGUAGGUUGUAUACCAAAAUUUAUGACAAACGCGAUGAUUUUAAUUUUCCUAUAGUCAACUUUCCAUUUCUGUGUAGCAACAUCCCAGCGGCACCAGCAUAUGGAGUAUGUGUCUCAAUUGAUACGUUACUCUAGACCUAGUUCAAAGUACGUUGAUUUUGUUGAACGAGGAAUACUGCUUUCUCAAAAGUUGCUAAGACAGGGC
Molecule: long non-coding RNA, 210 nt
Filed under: Mytilus galloprovincialis (Mediterranean mussel)
Lineage: Eukaryota; Metazoa; Mollusca; Bivalvia; Mytilida; Mytilidae
Source: RNAcentral